This 468-nucleotide ribosomal RNA is filed under the name uncultured bacterium. RNAcentral's name for it is "partial 16S ribosomal RNA". It matches the Rfam family "Bacterial small subunit ribosomal RNA", at positions 28 to 507 of the family's 1533-position model. The record is from RNAcentral.
GACGAACGCUGGCGGCGUGCUUAACACAUGCAAGUCGAACGGAAAGGCCCUGCUGUUGUGGGGUGCUCGAGUGGCGAACGGGUGAGUAACACGUGAGUAACCUGCCCUGGACUUUGGGAUAACUUCAGGAAACUGGGGCUAAUACCGGAUAGGAGCUCCUGCUGCAUGGUGGGGGUUGGAAAGUUUCGGCGGUUGGGGAUGGACUCGCGGCUUAUCAGCUUGUUGGUGGGGUAGUGGCUUACCAAGGCUUUGACGGGGAGCCGGCCUGAGAGGGUGACCGGCCACAUUGGGACCGAGGUACGGCCCCGGCGCCUACUGGAGGCCGCAGUGGGGAAUACUGCACAAUGGGCGGCAGCCUGAUGCAGCAACGCCGCGUGCUGGAUGACGGCCUUCGGGUUGUAAACCGCCUUCGCCUGUGACGAAGCGUGAGUGACGGUAAUGGGAAGAGAAGCACCCGCUAACUACCUG